GGACCCGCACAAGCGGUGGAGCAUGUGGUUUAAUUCGAUGCAACGCGAAGAACCUUACCUGGCCUUGACAUCCAUGGAAUUUUGCAGAGAUGCAGAAGUGCCUUCGGGAACCAUGAGACAGGUGCUGCAUGGCUGUCGUCAGCUCGUGUCGUGAGAUGUUGGGUUAAGUCCCGCAACGAGCGCAACCCUUGUCCUUAGUUGCCAUCAUUCAGUUGGGAACUCUAAGGAGACCGCCGGUGACAAACCGGAGGAAGGUGGGGAUGACGUCAAGUCAUCAUGGCCUUUAUGGCCAGGGCUACACACGUGCUACAAUGGCAGGUACAGAGGGAAGCCAACGCGCGAGCGGGAGCCAAUCCCAGAAAGCCUGUCGUAGUCCGGAUCGGAGUCUGCAACUCGACUCUGUGAAGUUGGAAUCGCUAGUAAUCGCAGAUCAGCAUUGCUGCGGUGAAUACGUUCCCGGGUCUU
Molecule: ribosomal RNA, 465 nt
Filed under: uncultured bacterium
Lineage: Bacteria
Description: bacterial SSU rRNA
Rfam family: Bacterial small subunit ribosomal RNA
Source: RNAcentral